AAAAAAGACGGGUGUAAUUGUAUAACCAAGAAAAAUAUCCUGAACAAACUGAAAUAAACAAAAUAGUAAUCUAACACGAGAUACAAAGUUUCAAGAAAUUUAAUCAGUAAUAUGGUAGGAUAUUACAGCACACACAACUAUAGAAGUAUUGAGAAAAAAACUUCAGAGCCCAAAGAGUCUAUUGUAGAAUUUGUGCAAACUGGAAUUCCUGUCCUGACAAUAUGCACAUAUUGACUCUGUGAUGCAAC
RNAcentral lists this long non-coding RNA (248 nucleotides) under Mytilus galloprovincialis (Mediterranean mussel). Lineage: Eukaryota; Metazoa; Mollusca; Bivalvia; Mytilida; Mytilidae. The record is from RNAcentral.